AGUGAACGCUGGCGGUAGGCCUAACACAUGCAAGUCGAACGGCAGCACAGUAAGAGCUUGCUCUUACGGGUGGCGAGUGGCGGACGGGUGAGGAAUACAUCGGAAUCUACUUUUUCGUGGGGGAUAACGUAGGGAAACUUACGCUAAUACCGCAUACGACCUACGGGUGAAAGCAGGGGAUCUUCGGACCUUGCGCGAUUGAAUGAGCCGAUGUCGGAUUAGCUAGUUGGCGGGGUAAAGGCCCACCAAGGCGACGAUCCGUAGCUGGUCUGAGAGGAUGAUCAGCCCCACUGGAACUGAGACACGGUCCCGACUCCUACGGGAGGCCGCAGUGGGGAAUAUUGGACAAUGGGCGCAAGCCUGAUCCAGCCAUACCGCGUGGGUGAAGAAGGCCUUCGGGUUGUAAAGCCCUUUUGUUGGGAAAGAAAAGCAGCAGGUUAAUACCCCGCUGUUCUGACGGUACCCAAAGAAUAAGCACCGGCUAACUUCGUG
Molecule: ribosomal RNA, 492 nt
Filed under: uncultured bacterium
Lineage: Bacteria
Description: partial 16S ribosomal RNA
Rfam family: Bacterial small subunit ribosomal RNA
Source: RNAcentral